UUAAAAUCAAUCAUGAGUCAUGAACCGAGCAUAAGCCACAAAUUUGAACUAAUUUUAAAAUUUUUUUUCUAUAAAAUAACAUGCUGAGAGAUUAAAUUAUCUAAAAAUGUAAAUAAUAAAAAAUUAAUUUAAUUAUUUAUUUUAAUAAAAUAAUUGAUUUGUAAAAUUUUUAGGUAGCGUUUGGUAGCAAGACAGAGACCGAGAGACUGUGACAGAGAGACAGAAAUUAAAAUAAGUCUCAAUAUUGUGUUUGGUGUAUAAAGUGUAUAGAACUGAAUUAUGUCUCAGUAUCUUAUUUGGUUUGAAUUAAAACUAGAGACUGAAAUGUUUAAAUUUACAAAAUUACCCUUAACCUUACAAUGUAAAUAUAAUAGAAGGAGAAAAAGUGUGACCAAAAAAAAUAUUCUAUUUAUGAGUUGAAUUUGUUUCUGUAUGAUUUCUAUGAUGCUUUUUCGGGUGUUGUCAUGGAUAAGAGGGGAAGAAUGAUUUAAUAACAUGAACACAUAAUCUAAAGUAAUAUAAUGACUUAGUUAAUUAGGACAAAUUUGACAAAAGUUUGUUUCUCAUUCUCAGAGAGACACAUAUAUAGCUAGGCAUUAUAACCAUGCUAUAUCAAUAUUAUUUAAUCCUUUGUGUGAGAGAGAGAGAGUGAGUGAGUGAUAGACCAAUAUGGUUUAUAACAAGAGCAAGAAGAUAAAAUUUAUGCCGUUAAAUCUUAAUAAAGAUUGGAACAAACCAUCAUAUAAAUUUUCAAAAGGGUCAUGCAUGUAUCUAGCUAUGUAACUUCUUAUAUAAUGAUUUUCAAUCAUGAUCAUCAGUGUGUAUAUAGAAUUAUUCAGACCAUAAAUCUCUUACUCCUGUUAGCUAUAAACUACAAUUAAUUCCCAUGUAACAGUGGCAUUAAUAAUUCCCAAAAACAGAUGGCAAAUCCCUGAAUAUAGGACAAAGUCACAAAGACAAAGGAUUUCUUCAACAUCAGUGCUACUACUUCACACCAUUAAGAAAAUAACAAACCAAGCAAAAUAGUAACUUGUCUCUUUUCAAACUUUAAUUUCUCCAAAUCAAAGCACCCACACAAAACAUAUGUUGAGGUUGUGAG
Molecule: non-coding RNA, 1099 nt
Organism: Arachis ipaensis
Lineage: Eukaryota; Viridiplantae; Streptophyta; Magnoliopsida; Fabales; Fabaceae
Source: RefSeq, a predicted model, not a curated record